This 249-nucleotide ribosomal RNA is filed under the name uncultured bacterium. RNAcentral describes it as "partial 16S ribosomal RNA". It matches the Rfam family "Bacterial small subunit ribosomal RNA", at positions 524 to 772 of the family's 1533-position model. The record is from RNAcentral.
UACAGAGGUCUCAAGCGUUGUUCGGAUUCAUUGGGCGUAAAGGGUGCGUAGGCGGCGCGGUAAGUCGGGUGUGAAAUCUCGGGGCUUAACUCCGAAACUGCAUUCGAUACUGCCGUGCUUGAGGACUGGAGAGGAGACUGGAAUUUACGGUGUAGCGGUGAAAUGCGUAGAUAUCGUAAGGAAGACCAGUGGGGAAGGCGGGUCUCUGGACAGUUCCUGACGCUGAGGCACGAAGGCCAGGGGAGCAAA